UAGAUGGCGACCGGCGCACGGGUGAGUAACACGUAUCCAACCUGCCGAUAACUCGGGGAUAGCCUUUCGAAAGAAAGAUUAAUACCCGAUGGUAUAAUAAAGCCGCAUGGUUUAAUUAUUAAAGAAUUUCGGUUAUCGAUGGGGAUGCGUUCCAUUAGGCAGUUGGUGAGGUAACGGCUCGCCAAGCCUUCGAUGGAUAGGGGUUCUGAGAGGAAGGUCCCCCACAUUGGAACUGAGACACGGUCCAA
This 248-nucleotide ribosomal RNA is filed under the name uncultured bacterium. RNAcentral describes it as "partial 16S ribosomal RNA". It matches the Rfam family "Bacterial small subunit ribosomal RNA", at positions 85 to 334 of the family's 1533-position model. The record is from RNAcentral.